Small nucleolar RNA from Esox lucius (northern pike), 78 nucleotides. Ensembl annotates it as small nucleolar RNA MBII-202. The record is from Ensembl. NCBI's taxonomy places the organism in Eukaryota, Metazoa, Chordata, Actinopteri, Esociformes, Esocidae.
UGAUGACAAAUCUCCGGAAUCUCUGUACUUCCUUGAUGAAUCUUUUUGAACCUAUUAGCUGAUGACUGCUAGAUUAAU